GUGAUUAAAUCGAGCGUGUCUUCAUUGACCGCUCACCCUUCUCACCAUCCACAUACACCUGUGCACUGUUUAGCCUGAGCCGGUUUUCCGGUCCAGGUUAUCAUUCCAUACAAACUCUAGUCUUAUGAAUGUAAACGUUUUAAUAACAUAAUA
This 153-nucleotide unclassified non-coding RNA is filed under the name soil metagenome. RNAcentral describes it as "partial internal transcribed spacer 1". The record is from RNAcentral.